Molecule: long non-coding RNA, 836 nt
Organism: Aquila chrysaetos chrysaetos
Lineage: Eukaryota; Metazoa; Chordata; Aves; Accipitriformes; Accipitridae
Exons: 2
Source: RefSeq, a predicted model, not a curated record
CAGCACAUCCGCAUCUGAGGACAAAGCAAAAGAAAUAGAACAAGAGUGGAAAUUGUUGCACUCCUGCUAUCCAGGAUAUUGUUACUACAUGAGUAACGCAGAACUCAUCUGGAGUUGACUGAGGUUAAGAGAACAGAAGCUCAGUGGCCCUCUCAGAAAUACUUUACUGAGACCAUCAAGUUAGAACCGUUCUCUGACUACUGGAUGAGCGCACGGCAUCAGAGAUGAGCAUCAAGCAUCUUUUGCAUCAUCCUAAGGUACGUAGCUUUCAUCCUCUGCAGUUGUUAAAAUACUGACAGAGCGCAUCCAUUUCACAUUGUUUUCCAGUUUAAUAUUGAACAGGAUGCAGCAAUCAAGCAGAUAAACACAGGCUCUUCCAAUUCUGAACUGCAUAUAGUUAGGAAGUAGACACAAGGAAAAUGACACUACUACACUGGUUGCAGGAUCAUUCAGCCACACUUUUCCUUCCAACUCAGCAAUUAAGAGUUUCACUGUACUUAAUAAGCUUUCUAACUGAGCUUCAAUUACGUAGCUUAGCUGACUCUGUCUUGCUGCUCACCCUGUAGCAGCAUUGAUGGAUUUCUAUAGAGAUUUCAAUCCUUCUGCUGUGGCUGCAAACGGCAAGCUGUGUUUUUAAACACAAUUUUAACAGUAGCCGGCCCACCUUGCUUUGCUCCACGGGGUAAACCAUCUAAGUUCCCUGUAGUUUCCUGCAUUUGCCAGUGAUAUUUUUGGUCUGAUCAGAAGAAUUUUCCUUAAAACAUAAAACAGAAAGGGUGAGUUAAGACCUGAUGUAGAGCCAAACAAGACUAAAUAAAAACACUGAUCAGUACCAA